Molecule: non-coding RNA, 1836 nt
Organism: Meleagris gallopavo (turkey)
Lineage: Eukaryota; Metazoa; Chordata; Aves; Galliformes; Phasianidae
Source: RefSeq, a predicted model, not a curated record
CCCAGAUCUCAUUUAACGGUUGGCAGUGGAGGAAAGAGUAUCUUGCUGGAAAUCCCUGUCUACUGAAGGUCUUCCAGAGGUGUUCUUGUUGUUGAGAUCUGGCAAUGAUGUAUGAGGGAAGAAGCAUUGCAGCAGUCAACUACUAUUUAUGAAGUGCCAUGGAGAUAAACACCAAACAGUGGAAGAAGUCAGAGCUGUGAUUUCAGUCUGGAGAGUGGCAUCUUCCUGAAGUGCAGGCUAAAAAAUAUUCAAAAUUGAACCAAGGGUGACUAGUUGGACAGGAUGAAGAUAAUGACUGAACAUCUAGAUGGGCUGCAAGUCUCCUGAAAGAAGCAUCAGGGCAACUCAGUCUGAAGAUGAUAGAGCAAGAGGAGAGCCAGAAGUGAGAACUUUGGCCCUUUAUGUCAAUUGCCUCAAGACUUUCAGUAUAAGAACUUCUGAUUUUUUUUUUUUUCUCCUUUAAAAAAAUAGAGAGGAGAAGUAAAUAAACUGCUUCUCUUUUGUCACCUACUACUCAUACAGUGUUUGUUUGUUUGAGAAGCUUGUCAAACAAAAAUUGGCACCUGCCAACCAAACUGAAACAUGAUCUACUCUGAAUGCUGGAUAAGUGAGUGCCCCAGAGGGUUCCUCCCCACCCAGAGAGGAAGCACGCUUGCUGUUGAUGCAGAAGACAAGGAGGACAGAUGACUGCAUCUCUUGCACUGCCCGGAUUCAUGCUGCUUCCCAGGCUCCAGUCCUGCUGCCAGCCCUGCAAUUGCAAUACCACACCCAACAGGUGGCAAUUGUAGCCCGGACUCCGCCUUGGCAGAGCACCUGCACAAGAGCUUCUGCCUCCCAAACUCUUCCAGACCCAGCAAAGCCAGCAGAAGAAGGAGAGUGCUGGCACUUAACACACUGCUCCAUUUCAGAUUUCAGGCCAUUUUCUGAAUGUGAUGCAGUGCUCUUCUCCUUGUCGGAAAUCUGAAAUAGAACAAAGCAGCCUCAAACUAUGUCUGAGACCAUAAUUAGUGAUAUUGUGGGAAGUCAUAAGGAAGUCCUUGGGCUGUCCUGGGAUUUGGUCAUCUUAUUCUGUUUCCAUUUCCUUUUUGGCUCCAGAAGGAAGAAAAAAUAAACAGGAAGGAGAGAGAAGGGAUGGGGGUAACAGAGCUGUUAGUGAAGCUGAAGAGUUCACUUAUUUCCAUGGAAACAUUCACAUCCUAGCAACAGCAUAUUGAUAGCAAGAUGACAUGGAAAGACAAGAGCUGAUGCCUUUGGCUCAUGGGAAAACAAGCUAUCCUGGAUUUCUAGUUUUUUACCUUUUCAAAAAUGCAUAAGUGUUUAACAAAAAUCCCCAGUCAAUUUUUCUGUUCUUAAUUGCUUGUGCUUUUGUGUUGAAACAUUACCUGUUACGGAAAAUUGAUAGAGUUGAGGUAUUAUUCACAUUGUCUGUUUGGCCACAGGUAUCAUUAAUAGGCAACAAAGAAACCCAGAGGUAUUGAACAUCUUUUGUCUAUUUAUUUAUUCAUUUCACCAUUUAUUUAUUUCAUCAUUUCUUUUGUCAUGCCUUGAGGCAUUUAGCAAGAUGUUUUUGGAUUAGUUGAAAACAAGUAGAAGCCAAUACAACGUUCUGUGCCCAUCCCCUCACUUUCCAGUGCAUGGAUGGUACAACAUGGAUUGUUGAUAUGUUGUUCAGUGGGAGUCAUGGUAGGAUGAGUUGUGGUAUUGUUUGUACUCCGUAUGAUGUCCAGGGAACAUGUGUGUGCUGGGCAGCAGUACAAAGCUUUCUGGCUUUGUGUGGCUUUGGAUUGGGGUUUGUAUUGUAAUGCAUAUUUUUUCUUGGAAAUGUUUCUGUUUAAA